AGGAAUGAAGAAUAGAAUUGUGAUUUUUUUUUUACUUCAAACUUAGUACAUUUGAAGUACCAUUCAACUAGCUACUUUUAGUUUUAAAAUGUAAUUAUCUUCUAGAAAACAUAGUAUUUUAUUAGAAUCAUAAACUGGUAUGAAAAAUAUAAUCACAGCAGAAAUCAGAUUUGGGUGAGACUUAAGAUCAGACUACAGAGUGGGGCGAGAGGUUCUAGUCAAUGGGGAGAGAGGUGUUGGUUAGGAGAGGUGGCUACAGACCACCCACCAGAUACGGGGUGUGCCCUAAAAGAUCAGAAAACAAGUGACUUCAGCCAUCGAGGAGGGAUCACAUGCUGACACCUCAGUGUCCCCUGGGUGAAUGCCAUCCUGAAUUAAAAUAUGAAUAGAAAGAGCCUGCACAGCAUUACAGAAGGAGCAAGAAUGUAAACAGAAACUGACCACAUUAUUUUUAAAUAUCAGACGUCCAGAAUGGAAAUGCCUCAGUACAAUCAAGCUGUUACCUAAAAAAGGUGACUGAGGAUCUAUGGCUUGAAUCCCACCCUGGGAAGACAGUAACAUUUAGAAAUAUUCAAGUGUAUAAAUUCUACAUUUUAACUGAAUUUAUUUUUAAAAUAAUUCUUUUGAAAUUAUCAUAAAGACAGAGAUAUGAUAGGACUUAUGCUGCAAACUCUGAAAUAACUCACCUAGAGAAAAAUCAGCAUAAAAGAAAGAAUGAUUGUAUAACUGAUGAUGAAUAAAUGAAGCGCCAAACAGUCAUUCCCAGGAAGGCUGAAUGAAGAUUGCCUUGAGUAGAUUAACGUGAAAGGAAAACAAAGAUGGACAUCUUUGGCAAUCUUGGGUGAAAGAUCUCUAAGCCAUGGAAUACUGCCCACUUCUCAUUUUCUCUCUCUCUUGUCUCUGUCUUCUCUACUACGGAUGACUAGAAGAAUAAAAGCAGACUUCGCCCCAGACAAUGGUCACUAAUGCUCCACAGCUGUGCAGACAGUCACGUGCGUCCAUACCUUCUAACAGGAGUGAGUACGGAAGACGAAGACACUUUUUCCUCUGGAAAGCACCAGAUAAAGAGUUUUGCCUUACAGAGUAACCAUAAGGCAAGAAGAUGAAAUGCACCAAAUACUUAGCAAACUAAAUGCAAACAGGUAAUGUUCAAUAAAUUGAUUUCUUCUUUCUCUGGUGAGUAUGACAUGAAUUCCAGACCUUCAAGACCUGAUAUGCCCUUAUCGCAAACAAGCUAUUGCAGACUCACCUCACAUCUUUCUUACACAGGUUAACAAUAUGUCAGGUUUUUAAAGCAGGAUCUAGAGCAGGGUGACAGCUUUCUCUCUCCUACACUCUUCCCUAUCUGUAGACUAAGGUAGGGAAUAAAAGUCCUAGGGGAGGGGAUGAGGGGAGGGGACCUGAAGAUCAACCUCAGUGAUUAAGAGCACUGGAUGCUUUUCCAGGACUCAGGUUUGCCUCCAAGAACCUACGCGGCAGUUCUCAACCUCUGUAACUCCAGUUCCAAGGGAUCUGACACCCACUUCUGGCUUCCUUGGGCACCAGGCAUGUUCAUGAUGCACAUACACACGUGUAAGGAAAAAACUAUAUACAUAAUUAAUUAAUUAAUAUCCCAGAGAACAAUUCGUUUGGCAACUAUGAAAUGGAAGAGUCUGGCUUAAGUAAACACUAUGUGCUUGGGCCAAAGGAUACUCAGAGUGCACUGAAGGCAAGUGAUAACAACAUGGGAGUGAGGACUCUGAGGACUGGCUCCUCUCACAACGGGUGUGAACAAGGGACACAGGACAGUGCUCUGGCAGUGAGGUAGCAAGAACAUGAAGUACAUAGGCAUCAUUUACCAUACCUCUACCUAGCACUGUAAAGAGAUCAAGAGGGAUAUCAAGAGACUACCCACCCCCAAGGAUCAGGAGUAACAGUGCUGAAUAGUUUCUGUCAACUUGGCUCAAAGUAAAAUCAUGUGAGAGGAGGAAACCUCAGUUAAGAAAGUGCCUCCCUAAAAUCUGUGUUGUGAGCCAGCCUGUCAGGUAUUUUCUUAAUUAGUGAUUGACAGGCUCAGCCCAUUAUGAGUGGUACCAUUCCUGGGCUUGUGGUCCUGGGUUCUCUAGGAUAGCAGGCUGAGCAAGCCAGCAAGCAGUAAGCCAGCAAGCAGCAAGCAGCAAGCAGCAAGCAGCAAGCAGCAAGCAUCACCUUUCCCUGACCUCUGCAUCAGCUUACUCCAAGCCUGGCAAUCUGAGUCAGACACAGCACACACAGGGCAGAAGAGCAGCCUCCACAUGUGUCCUCUGACUUCCACACACAACGUACUGCACAUACUCUAAUGGAUAAAUGCAAACCCCAAACAACCAACCCGACAGCCACCUAAGAUGCCAACAUAUUUGAUGCCCCAUGUCCUUUUGCUGGUAUUUUCAUUUCUAAGCAUGAUACUGUGUAGAAUCUUCAGAUUCUGACAUCCCAGUCCCAUGAUCUAUAAACUAGAAGAAGGGUGGUUAUGGAAGGAAGGAAGGGAGAGAGGGGGGGAGAAAAGGGGCUUGAGAAGUUCUGUUCAGAAGCAUACUUAACAAAAGAAACUUAUCAAGUAUAGGAUCUUAAAACCAUGUGCUCAAGAUUCUACCGUGCAGCAGUGUGUGCACACGUAGGGAUAUGGGCGACAUAAUUGGAUACUGCUCAACGCGAGGUAGACUUUAACAUUUACUAAGCCCUUACUAUGCUAUUUCAUUUGAUAUAUAAAAUUCCUAAGAAAA
This 2741-nucleotide small RNA is filed under the name Rattus norvegicus (Norway rat). RNAcentral's name for it is "uncharacterized LOC108353075". Lineage: Eukaryota; Metazoa; Chordata; Mammalia; Rodentia; Muridae. The record is from RNAcentral.